CAGUAGCCGCGGUAACACGGAGGGUGCAAGCGUUAAUCGGAAUUACUGGGCGUAAAGCGCACGCAGGCGGUCUGACAAGUCAGAUGUGAAAUCCCCGGGCUUAACCUGGGAACUGCAUUUGAAACUGUCAGGCUGGAGUCUUGUAGAGGGGGGUGGAAUUCCAGGUGUAGCGGUGAAAUGCGUAGAGAUCUGGAGGAAUACCGGUGGCGAAGGCGGCCCCCUGGACGAAGACUGACGCUCAGAUGCGAAAGCGUGGGGAGCAAACAGGAUUAGAUACCCCUGUAGUCCCUGUCUCUUAUAA
Molecule: ribosomal RNA, 301 nt
Filed under: uncultured bacterium
Lineage: Bacteria
Description: partial 16S ribosomal RNA
Rfam family: Bacterial small subunit ribosomal RNA
Source: RNAcentral